Molecule: ribosomal RNA, 429 nt
Filed under: Gemmatimonadota bacterium
Lineage: Bacteria; Pseudomonadati; Gemmatimonadota
Description: Gemmatimonadetes bacterium partial 16S ribosomal RNA
Rfam family: Bacterial small subunit ribosomal RNA
Source: RNAcentral
UAGGGAAUCUUCGGCAAUGGACGAAAGUCUGACCGAGCAACGCCGCGUGAGUGAAGAAGGUUUUCGGAUCGUAAAACUCUGUUGUUAGAGAAGAACAAGGACGUUAGUAACUGAACGUCCCCUGACGGUAUCUAACCAGAAAGCCACGGCUAACUACGUGCCAGCAGCCGCGGUAAUACGUAGGUGGCAAGCGUUGUCCGGAUUUAUUGGGCGUAAAGCGAGCGCAGGCGGUUUCUUAAGUCUGAUGUGAAAGCCCCCGGCUCAACCGGGGAGGGUCACUGGAAACUGGGAGACUUGAGUGCAGAAGAGGAGAGUGGAAUUCCAUGUGUAGCGGUGAAAUGCGUAGAUAUAUGGAGGAACACCAGUGGCGAAGGCGGCUCUCUGGUCUGUAACUGACGCUGAGGCUCGAAAGCGUGGGGAGCAAACAGG